GGCUCAGUGGUUCGGUGAUAAAGCGUUCGCUGUGGAGCCAGAGGCUCUUGGGUUUGAUUCCCGACCGGGUCA
This 72-nucleotide transfer RNA is filed under the name Schistosoma japonicum. RNAcentral's name for it is "tRNA-OTHER". The record is from RNAcentral. Lineage: Eukaryota; Metazoa; Platyhelminthes; Trematoda; Strigeidida; Schistosomatidae.